Molecule: ribosomal RNA, 422 nt
Filed under: uncultured bacterium
Lineage: Bacteria
Description: bacterial SSU rRNA
Rfam family: Bacterial small subunit ribosomal RNA
Source: RNAcentral
UGAGGAAUAUUGGGCAAUGCCCGCAAGGGUGACCCAGCAACGCCGCGUGGAGGAUGAAUGUCGUAAGAUUGUAAACUCCUGUUAGAGGGGAAGAAUAGUACCGGUUGGACCGGUAUAUGACUGUACCCUCAGAGAAAGCCCCGGCUAACUACGUGCCAGCAGCCGCGGUAAUACGUAGGGGGCAAGCGUUGUCCGGAUUUACUGGGUGUAAAGGGCGCGCAGGCGGGAUAAAAAGUCAGUGGUGAAAUCCUACAGCUUAACUGUAGAACUGCCUUUGAUACUUUUAUUCUUGAGUUCGGGAGAGAGAGACGGAAUUCCAGGUGUAGUGGUGAAAUACGUGGAUAUCUGGAAGAACACCAGUUGCGAAGGCGGUCUCUUGGUCCGACACUGACGCUGAGGCGCGAAAGCGUGGGGAGCAAACA